Molecule: ribosomal RNA, 489 nt
Filed under: uncultured Mycobacterium sp.
Lineage: Bacteria; Bacillati; Actinomycetota; Actinomycetes; Mycobacteriales; Mycobacteriaceae
Description: bacterial SSU rRNA
Rfam family: Bacterial small subunit ribosomal RNA
Source: RNAcentral
GAGUAACACGUGGGCGAUCUGCCCUGCACUUCGGGAUAAGCCUGGGAAACUGGGUCUAAUACCGGAUAGGACCACGGGAUUCAUGUCCUGUGGUGGAAAGCUUUUGCGGUGUGGGAUGGGCCCGCGGCCUAUCAGCUUGUUGGUGGGGUAACGGCCUACCAAGGCGACGACGGGUAGCCGGCCUGAGAGGGUGUCCGGCCACACUGGGACUGAGAUACGGCCCAGACUCCUACGGGAGGCAGCAGUGGGGAAUAUUGCACAAUGGGCGCAAGCCUGAUGCAGCGACGCCCCGUGGGGGAUGACGGCCUUCGGGUUGUAAACCUCUUUCACCAUCGACGAAGGUUCGGGUUUUCUCGGAUUGACGGUAGGUGGAGAAGAAGCACCGGCCAACUACGUGCCAGCAGCCGCGGUAAUACGUAGGGUGCGAGCGUUGUCCGGAAUUACUGGGCGUAAAGAGCUCGUAGGUGGUUUGUCGCGUUGUUCGUGAAA